RNAcentral lists this small nucleolar RNA (91 nucleotides) under Carlito syrichta (Philippine tarsier). Its description in RNAcentral is "Small nucleolar RNA SNORD116 (ENSTSYG00000024027.2)". It matches the Rfam family "Small nucleolar RNA SNORD116". From Rfam's summary of the family: HBII-85 is a member of the C/D class of snoRNAs, which contain the C (UGAUGA) and D (CUGA) box motifs. HBII-85 is encoded in a tandemly repeated array with another C/D snoRNA, HBII-52, in the Prader-Willi syndrome (PWS) region of chromosome 15. Unlike most other snoRNAs, HBII-85 is expressed prevalently in the brain (but is absent in PWS patients) and lacks any significant complementarity with ribosomal RNA. The record is from Rfam by way of RNAcentral. Lineage: Eukaryota; Metazoa; Chordata; Mammalia; Primates; Tarsiidae.
CUACCAAUAAUGACUUAAAAAUAGAGCUCAUUGGAAUCUGAACGAAAUGAGUGACCAAGUCAUUGUUGUGCCACUUCUAUAGCUGAGGUUA